This 468-nucleotide ribosomal RNA is filed under the name uncultured bacterium. RNAcentral's name for it is "partial 16S ribosomal RNA". It matches the Rfam family "Bacterial small subunit ribosomal RNA", at positions 28 to 507 of the family's 1533-position model. The record is from RNAcentral.
GACGAACGCUGGCGGCGUGCUUAACACAUGCAAGUCGAACGGAAAGGCCCUGCUUUUGUGGGGUUCUCGAGUGGCGAAGGGGUGCGUAACACGUGUGUAACCUGCUCUUGUCUUUGGGAUAGCUUCAGGUAAGUGGGGCUAAUCCAGUAUCGGAGCCCCCGCUCCGUGGAGGGGGGUGGAAAUUUUCGGCGGUUGUGGUUGGACUCGCGGAUUAUGGGCUUGCUGGUGGGGUAGGGGCUUACCCAGGCAUUGACGGGUACGCGGCCUGGGAGGGUGACCGGCCACAUUGGGACUAAGGUACGGCCCAGACGCCUACGGGAGGCAGCAGUGGGGAAUAUUGCACAAUGGGCGGAAGCCUGAUGCAGCAACGCCGCGUGCGGAAUGACGGCCUGCGGGGUGUAAACCGCUUUCGCCUGUGACGAAGCGUGAGUGACGGUAAUGGGUAAAGAAGCACCGGCUAACUACGUG